Molecule: non-coding RNA, 1637 nt
Organism: Odocoileus virginianus texanus
Lineage: Eukaryota; Metazoa; Chordata; Mammalia; Artiodactyla; Cervidae
Source: RefSeq, a predicted model, not a curated record
GUAGAAGAAAGGCAUUUUCAAAAUGGAAUACCAAAUAACAUACCAGAAAAACUCUUCCAGAAAACAAAACAGAGUUCCGUGAGCACACAAUAUAUUUUGUCUGGGCCUGGAUACUUGAUUUCAUUGGAGGUACCCAAGGAACUCUCUUGAUCUCACAGGCACUGUGAUGGAUGCUGGGAAUAUACAGAUCAGUGAACAGUUAUAAUGUGCUAAGUGGUCCAGAUUUAGCAUGCAACGUGGGUGCCUGACAAGGACAUCCAACAGUCCAGAAAAAGAUUCCUCUGGGAAAGGGAGAUGGAGUACAAGGUCCUUAAGUCCCCUAUGCUUGAGAUUGAGGCAAAGACAACUAGUCCAUUCAAGAGACAAAGAAUCAUAGUGUAAAGAGAGUGAUCUCGAGUCCACACAAGCAGUAGCAGGGAUGGACUCUUUAACACAUGGAAGAAUGCCUGGUCCAGGUAUAUCACUUAAGUACAUAUGCAUGACUAUUAACCAUAGCUGAAUUCUGGAAGGUUCACAAAUACAAGAAAUAAAUUUGGAACACAGUAAGAUGGAGACUGGGAGAUUUUCUGAGGAGUCCCAGGAAUCCCUACAAGGCUGCCUUAAGAGACCUGGGCUCCUUCGUAAGCCUGUAUGCACCCUAGUAGUCAUGGACAGAACUCAUGGAAUAUUUAUGGUCAAAUUCUACAGAAGAAAACUUUAGGUCAUGAAAUCAGUUUCUUCAUACUUAAAUGAAUGAACACAUGUACAUACACAUCCCUUAAAAUAUACCUCGAUUCCCUUGAAAUAAAGCAUUUUUCAUUUUGUGAACUUUUUUUUGUGUCUGUGAUUUUAUGCUUCAAAGCCAUAUGCUUCCCCUAGUCAUAAUUUUUGCUUUAAAAUUCCUUUAAUCACUUGAUUAUAUAAUUUGUGAAAUUUUCAUUUUAUAUAUAUAUAUAUAUUUUUUUUUUUUUAAUCUUUGUAUCCAUGAAUCUAGCCCUUAUUUGAAGUUAAUUUGCUUCAGGCAAUUGGGUAAUCUACUUCUGAUCCUACAUAAAUCAACAAACUGAGAAAAGCAAAUAUCAGAAGGGCCAUGGAUCCAUAAAGCUGUAUUAAAUAACAAAGUGGUCAGGCAUUUUCUUAAGGGAGAAAAUGACAAAAAAUUCAUUUGUUUAAUAAAAACAACAACAAGAAAUAGGCCCGAGCCAAAGACAGCAAUUUCUUGUUAAAAAAGCAAAUAGCCUUCACAAUUUCAAACACACUGUCACACCUGCUUUCAAAUAUAAAAAUAAAGCUGCUAAACAUUCCUGAAGAGAAUGGGUAACUGCAGAUUAUUUGAACAUCUUUGAACUUCAGCCUCAGCUACAGAAGAAUAACUGUCCUUAUCCUUUUUAUCUUGCACAGUCAUGAGAAGGUGAGAAUGCUUUGAAAUUUACACAAAUGUGAAGGUGACUUACUGAUGAAAUGUUGACAAGUCAGUCACUUCUAAUUUGUCCUUCCUAAACUAGCCACAGUCAGAUAUAAACCUAGCUUAAAGACCUAUAUUAAGGUUCAAACCUGGGGUAAUAUUCACACUAGCCCAAAUUUUUACAAAUUUAGCCAACUGGCUUAACCAACUAAUAAAUACAGUUAAUUUUAAAAAGACAUUUUAGGAAAAAGAA